GGGCGUUUAGCUCAGUGGGCCAGAGCGCACGGAUCACACCCGUGAGGUCACAGGUUCGAGUCCUGUAACGCCCA
Molecule: transfer RNA, 74 nt
Filed under: Planctomycetota bacterium
Lineage: Bacteria; Pseudomonadati; Planctomycetota
Also listed under: 1 other name
Description: Planctomycetes bacterium tRNA-Val
Rfam family: tRNA
About the family: Transfer RNA (tRNA) molecules are approximately 80 nucleotides in length.
Source: RNAcentral